GCCUACGGGAGGCAGCAGUAGGGAAUCUUCCACAAUGGGCGAAAGCCUGAUGGAGCAACGCCGCAUGGGUGAAGAAGGUCUUCGGAUCGUAAAACCCUGUUGUUAGAGAAGAAAGUGCGUGAGAGUAACUGUUCACGUUUCGACGGUAUCUAACCAGAAAGCCACGGCUAACUACGUGCCAGCAGCCGCGGUAAUACGUAGGUGGCAAGCGUUAUCCGGAUUUAUUGGGCGUAAAGGGAACGCAGGCGGUCUUUUAAAUCUGAUGUGAAAGCCUUCGGCUUAACCGGAGUAGUGCAUUGGAAACU
Molecule: ribosomal RNA, 305 nt
Filed under: uncultured bacterium
Lineage: Bacteria
Description: bacterial SSU rRNA
Rfam family: Bacterial small subunit ribosomal RNA
Source: RNAcentral